Molecule: long non-coding RNA, 2863 nt
Organism: Leptopilina boulardi
Lineage: Eukaryota; Metazoa; Arthropoda; Insecta; Hymenoptera; Figitidae
Exons: 7
Source: RefSeq, a predicted model, not a curated record
UAUUUUUGCACAAAAUACACAUAAAAGUGUAGAAAAAAAUCGACAGCCAAAUCCGAGUAGAGGAAGACCUCUAUUACCACCAAAAAGUCAUCCAGGACCAAAAAAAAAUUUCCAAAAAAAUUCAAUUUUUCUUAGGCAGACGAUUUUAUUGCAUAUUCUUGCACAAAAUACACCUAAAAGUGUAGAAAAAAAUCGACAGCCAAAUCCGAGUAGAGGAAGACCUCUAUUACCACCAAAAAGUCAUCCAGGUUAAAAAAAACAUUUCCAAAAAAAUUCAAUUUUUCUUAGGCAGACGAUUUUAUUGCAUAUUCUUGCACAAAAUACACCUAAAAGUGUAGAAAAAAAUCGACAGCUGAAUCCGAGUAGAGGAAGACCUCUAUUACCACCAAAAAGUCAUCCAGGUCCAAAAAAAAAUUUCCAAAAAAAUUCAAUUUUUCUUAGGCAGACGAUUUUAUUGCAUAUUCUUGCACAAAAUACACCUAAAAGUGUAGAAAAAAAUCGACAGCCAAAUCCGAGUAGAGGAAGACAUCUAUUCCCACCAAAAAGUCAUCCAGGUCCAAAAAAAAAUUUCCAAAAAAAUUCAAUUUUUCUUAGGCAGACGAUUUUAUUGCAUAUUCUUGCACAAAAUACACCUAAAAGUGUAGAAAAAAAUCGACAGCCAAAUCCGAGUAGAGGAAGACCUCUAUUACCACCAAAAAGUCAUCCAGGUCCAAAAAAAAAUUUCCAAAAAAAUUCAAUUUUUCUUAGGCAGACGAUUUUAUUGCAUAUUCUUGCACAAAAUACACCUAAAAGUGUAGAAAAAAAUCGACAGCCAAAUCCGAGUAGAGGAAGACCUCUAUUACCACCAAAAAGUCAUCCAGGUCCAAAAAAAAAUUUCCAAAAAAAUUCAAUUUUUCUUAGGCAGACGAUUUUAUUGCAUAUUCUUGCACAAAAUACACCUAAAAGUGUAGAAAAAAAUCGACAGCCAAAUCCGAGUAGAGGAAGACCUCUAUUACCACCAAAAAGUCAUCCAGGUCCAAAAAAAAAUUUCCAAAAAAAUUCAAUUUUUCUUAGGCAGACGAUUUUAUUGCAUAUUCUUGCACAAAAUACACCUAAAAGUGUAGAAAAAAAUCGACAGCCAAAUCCGAGUAGAGGAAGACCUCUAUUACCACCAAAAAGUCAUCCAGGUCCAAAAAAAAAUUUCCAAAAAAAUUCAAUUUUUCUUAGGCAGACGAUUUUAUUGCAUAUUCUUGCACAAAAUACACCUAAAAGUGUAGAAAAAAAUCGACAGCCAAAUCCGAGUAGAGGAAGACCUCUAUUACCACCAAAAAGUCAUCCAGGUCCAAAAAAAAAUUUCCAAAAAAAUUCAAUUUUUCUUAGGCAGACGAUUUUAUUGCAUAUUCUUGCACAAAAUACACCUAAAAGUGUAGAAAAAAUCGACAGCCAAAUCCGAGUAGAGGAAGACCUCUAUUACCACCAAAAAGUCAUCCAGGUCCAAAAAAAAAUUUCCAAAAAAAUUCAAUUUUUCUUAGGCAGACGAUUUUAUUGCAUAUUCUUGCACAAAAUACACCUAAAAGUGUAGAAAAAAAUCGACAGCCAAAUCCGAGUAGAGGAAGACCUCUAUUACCACCAAAAAGUCAUCCAGGUCCAAAAAAAAAUUUCCAAAAAAAUUCAAUUUUUCUUAGGCAGACGAUUUUAUUGCAUAUUCUUGCACAAAAUACACCUAAAAGUGUAGAAAAAAAUCGACAGCCAAAUCCGAGUAGAGGAAGACCUCUAUUACCACCAAAAAGUCAUCCAGGUCCAAAAAAACAUUUCCAAAAAAAUUCAAUUUUUUUUAGGCAGACGAUUUUAUUGCAUAUUCUUGCACAAAAUACACCUAAAAGUGUAGAAAAAAAUCGACAGCUGAAUCCGAGUAGAGGAAGACCUCUAUUACCACCAAAAAGUCAUCCAGGUUAAAAAAAACAUUUCCAAAAAAAUUCAAUUUUUCUUAGGCAGACGAUUUUAUUGCAUAUUCUUGCACAAAAUACACCUAAAAGUGUAGAAAAAAAUCGACAGCUGAAUCCGAGUAGAGGAAGACCUCUAUUACCACCAAAAAGUCAUCCAGGUCCAAAAAAAAAUUUCCAAAAAAAUUCAAUUUUUCUUAGGCAGACGAUUUUAUUGCAUAUUCUUGCACAAAAUACACCUAAAAGUGUAGAAAAAAAUCGACAGCCAAAUCCGAGUAGAGGAAGACAUCUAUUCCCACCAAAAAGUCAUCCAGGUCCAAAAAAAAAUUUCCAAAAAAAUUCAAUUUUUCUUAGGCAGACGAUUUUAUUGCAUCUUCUUGCACAAAAUACACCUAAAAGUGUAGAAAAAAAUAAACAGCCAAAUCCGAGUAGAGGAAGACCCCAAUUACCACCAAAAAGUCAUCCAGCUCCAAAAAAAAAUUUCCAAAAAAAUUCAAUUUUUCUUAGGCAGACGAUUUUAUUGCAUAUUUUUGCACAAAAUACACCUAAAAGUGUAGAAAAAAAUCGACAGCCAAAUCCGAGUAGAGGAAGACCUCUAUUAGCACCAAAAAGUCAUCCAUGUCCAAAAAAAAAUUUCCAAAAAAAUUCAAUUUUUCUUAGGCAGACGAUUUUAUUGCAUCUUCUUGCACAAAAUACACCUAAAAGUGUAGAAAAAAAUCAACAGCCAAAUCCGAGUAGAGGAAGACCCCAAUUACCACCAAAAAGUCAUCCAGCUCCAAAAAAAAAUUUUUAAAAAAAUUCAAUUUUUCUUAGGCAGACGAUUUUAUUGCAUAUUCUUGCACGAAAUACACCUAAAAGUGUAGAAAAAAAUCAACAGCCAAAUCCGAGUAGAGGAAGACCUCUAUUAUUACCAAAAAGUCAUCCAGGUCCAAAAAAAAAUU